CGAGCACGUAGGGGGGUUUGUAAGUCAGAUGUGAAAGCCUUCUGUUCAACGGAAGAAUUGCAUCUGAAACUGCUAAUCUUGAGUAUAGGAGGGGAGAAUGGAACUUCUGGUGGAGCGGUGAAAUGCGUAGAUAUCAGAAGGAACGCCGGCGGCGAAAGCGAUUCUCUGGCCUAUUACUGACACUCAGUGUGCGAAAGCUAGGGAGCAAACGGGAUAGAACCCCGUAGCCAGCCAU
RNAcentral lists this ribosomal RNA (235 nucleotides) under Candidatus Scalindua brodae. RNAcentral's name for it is "partial 16S ribosomal RNA". It matches the Rfam family "Bacterial small subunit ribosomal RNA", at positions 565 to 803 of the family's 1533-position model. The record is from RNAcentral. Lineage: Bacteria; Pseudomonadati; Planctomycetota; Candidatus Brocadiia; Candidatus Brocadiales; Candidatus Scalinduaceae.